Molecule: ribosomal RNA, 229 nt
Filed under: uncultured bacterium
Lineage: Bacteria
Description: partial 16S ribosomal RNA
Rfam family: Bacterial small subunit ribosomal RNA
Source: RNAcentral
UGCGCAGGCGGGGAUAUAAGUCAGUGGUGAAAUACUGCCGCUUAACGGUAGAAUUGCCAUUGAUACUGUAUCUCUUGAGUAUGGUUGAGGUAGGCGGAAUGUGCAGUGUAGCGGUGAAAUGCAUAGAUAUUGCACAGAACGCCAAUUGCGAAGGCAGCUUACCAAGCCAUUACUGACGCUGAGGCACGAAAGCGUGGGGAGCGAACAGGAUUAGAUACCCUGGUAGUCC